GGCCUCCGAUUCGAUCAGAGCAAUCAGAAACCUGAUUGUCCGAUUAAUCGUGAUUAAUCGUCUGAUCAGGCCUCUUGGUCGAUCAGAGCUGAAUUGGCAGAUGGGCUGCUUUUGGCCUGGGCUAUAUUUAUUUGGGCCAAGCCCAUUAGGGUUUCUCUUAUACACCUCACGCCCACCCUCUCUCUCCUCAGUCCUCAAUCCCAACUCCACCUUUCAUCUGCUGAGCUGUUGAGCCUCCUCCCUCCCUUCCAGUUCCAAUCCAAGCAGCCCACUGCUGCUUGCUGCUUGCUGCUUCCUCCUCCCUCUUCCCUGCUGCCUGCUUUCUCCUCCCUCUUUCCUACUGCAACUGCAAGUCUGCAACUAUAUACAUAUAUAUGAUAUAUAGUCUUGCUAUAUGUUGGACGAUUAUAUGGACGAUUAGUUCGAUCAGAGGUCGAUUAAUCGUCCUGAUCGUCGAUUAAUCGUCCUGUUCGUCCUGAUCGGUACCAGACCGAUUAGAAACGAUAAGCCGAUCAGAAAACAUUGGCUGCAUCUUUGAUGGAGCAAUUCCUAACAUAGCUGAAACCUUGAAGUUGGCCGGUGAUGAGCGUCAACGGUGGACAACGGCAGGGGCUCAUGGGCUAUCCCCAAAUGUAACUUAUGAGAUAAAGAUAAGGGUGUG
Molecule: long non-coding RNA, 661 nt
Filed under: Sorghum bicolor (sorghum)
Lineage: Eukaryota; Viridiplantae; Streptophyta; Magnoliopsida; Poales; Poaceae
Description: long non-coding RNA (SBIC_LNC004919)
Source: RNAcentral